RNAcentral lists this small RNA (3678 nucleotides) under Pyricularia oryzae. RNAcentral's name for it is "Magnaporthe oryzae sRNA M_BR32_EuGene_00141251". The record is from RNAcentral. Lineage: Eukaryota; Fungi; Ascomycota; Sordariomycetes; Magnaporthales; Pyriculariaceae.
UACAAUUAUUAACACUUUUAUAAUUAAUUCCCGUUCGUGGUAAAAUUUUAAUAACUUAUAUUUAAUACGCUGGUGGUAUAUAAAAUUAUAUACGUUAAUUAUAAAACCUAUAUUAUUUCCAAAUAUUGCAAUAGGGUUUCUCAUAAAUAGUCCAAUUUUUAUAAAUAGGUUUUUAAACCAUUAUAUUUUACACAGGGUUUCCGUUAAAACAUCGGUUUUGGUUUUUGGGGUAUUUAAAAUUAUAAUAUUAGCUUUUUUGCAUUUCCACGUUAUAAAACCUCCAAAUAGGGUAUAUAAAUGUCCGUAAAUGAAUUUUGGAUUUUCCCUAACCCCGGCAAAAUCGCUGUUAUUAAAAUUUAAUAAUUUUAAAUUUUUAAAACCCCCAAUUGAAAAAUUAGGUGGUAAAUCGGUUUUAAUUACCCUAUUUCCGUAAAAAACUGUUAGAGAUUUAAUACCUGCUAAAUAACAAAAUAGGCUUUUAAUUGCAAUUAAAAGAAUUAUAAUAAUUUUCGUUAAAAAACGAUAUAAUUAUUAAACCGCAAAACUGAUAUCCGGGCGCGUUAAUAAUAUUAAAUAUAUUAGGGUACCGAUAAUGUAUUAUAACAAUUUAAUUUCCAACGCAUUUACGGGUUUGCCCCCGUUAGGUCUUAGUAUAUCCGGUUAUAAACAAACAAAAAUAGGUUUGUAAUUAAUUAAUCCAAACGUUAUUAAUAUUUCCUUUAUAUAUUAAUUUUAAUGGAACCAAAACAGGCGGUUAGGUUUAUUCUUUAUAAUUUAAACGAUUAAAAAAUAGGCUGCAGGGCCCCUAUUUUUUAACGCGUAUAUUUGCUAAAACGUGUUUUUAAAUCCUAAAUAUAGUGCAAUGUAAAACCUAUUAACAGGCAAUCGUUAAUAAAAAUAAUAAUAAAAUGUUUGGAUUUAGUAUUAUAAAAAACAGCGGGGUUAAAAAUUAGCGGUUUAAAACCUUUUGUAAAAAAUAAACUUUUUAAUUUUAUUUGCCAUUUUUUGGGCCCUGUUUUAAACCGUAUAACGUCUUUUCCAAUUAUAUAAUUUACAUUUCCUUUAAAUUAUAACCAAUUUGCAUUAAAGUUUUAGCGGUGGUAAAAUUGCAAAAUUUAACCCAAUUGCUAAAACCCUUUGGGAUUUGCAGAUAAAUAUUUACUUCGGUAAUAUUACUAUCCAAAAACGCACUAAUAAAGUCGAUUUGUUCUAUUUCCCAAUUUUGUGUAUUAAUUAUAAUUAAUAGUAUACGCCAGGUAAACGGUAUAUUAAUACUAAGAAAAUUUUCGAUAUAAUUUAGGUUUUCGACCUGUAAAAACCCCCUAAUAACAAACCUGGUUUUAUAUUUUGUAGGUUUAUUAUUUUUAUCCUUUUUUAAUUUAAAUACCGGCCGGGUAAAAAUUAGUUUACGGCCUGUAAACAUUUUAAUUUUAGGAAUAAAACGGAAGGUUUUUGCAAUAACAAUUUGGUUGAAUUUAAACGUUAAAAUUAUUAACCAUUUUACAUUCUCAAAAUUAUUUAGGGCUUAUUAGUAAUUAUUUGGUUCGCCGUUUUUAAUGGGGUUUUUUUUGGUUUAAUAAAAAAAAUAAUGCACGUACUCGAUAUCCAUUGGAUUUGGGUUUUCGAAUUGCAAAUCUUAUUCCAUAUUUUGUAUUUUUGUUGUAAACGUUGUUUUCUAUUUAUUUUAUUAAAACGAAUAUAUAUAUUUAGUUAAAUUUAUAUAAUUGAACAAAUUUGCAUAUAAUACCAGUUUAAUCUUAGGAAAAUAAAGUAAAAGAAUCUUAUACGCGUUACAAAAUUGUAUUUGAAUAAAAACCCGCGUUAUAUUAGGUAAACAAUUGUUAUAUUUCUGACAAAACGCGGAAACAAAACCGUUAUUAAUAAUUUAGCUGGUUUUAGCCCGAUUUAAAUUUAAUAUAGUUAAAUAUUUUAUUAAAGGUUUAAAUGUACGCCAUUGGGGCUGAUUGCGGUGGUUUAAUACGCAAUAUACCCCCAAUCUGGCGCAGAAAUGCUGGAUCCGACCUUUUGGGCCACCGCCGGGAACAAAAUAAAUUAAAAAUAAAAUAAAAAUAAUAUAAUAAAAAAAAUAUGGAAUCAAAAAACGUAAAAAAAUAUAAUUUUAAAAAUUUGCGGCCGUUUAAUUUUUUGUUUAAUUAUUUGGAAUAUAAUUUUUAUCUCGCAAAUUUUUUUCUUUUUUGAAUAUUUCAGGCGAUUUGGUAUUAUUGUAACGCGAUUUGAUUAAAUCGCAUCGUCGUUUUAGCAUUUGUAAUACGCAAAUUAAUAUUGCAAUUAAAUUUAUUAUAAUGUAAUAUUUUUAACCUGUUUUGGUUUAUAAAUAUAAUAUAACGGAUUACUUUAAAUUUUCUCGCCGCAAAUAUUUCAUAUUAUAAUUAAUUCGGCUUAAAACAAUAUUUUUUUAGCAAAACGCGGGCGCAAAUUCCGGAUUUUCCGCGUUUAUACCCGAAUUAUUAACCAAAUUGAAAAUUUUUAACCGAAAAAAAAUCGCCUAAAAGUUGGAAUUUUUUGGACAAAUAUAAAAAGGUAGGUUAAUUUUUUUAUUUUUAAUUAAAUUUGUACUAAUUCUUCCUUAAAAGAAUUUUGCGGGCAUUUUUUUGGAAACAAAUAUUUGUUAAUAAAAUAAAUGGAAAAAACGUAAAAACCGUCGCGUUACCGAACGCGAAGGAAUUCGGGCCAAAUCGGCCGUCCAAAAUAUUACGGCGCAAAUUAUAAAAUUAAAUUUUAUUUCUGGUUUAAUUGGCGCGAAAUUAACCAAAUCAAUUAUUAAUUUAUAAACGUGGAUUUUAAUACGGCGAAACGCGCCGGUAAACGCGUUUCCAAAAGUUAUUAUUAAUUAUACACAUUAUUUGUUAUAAAUAAUAAAACUUAUAACAAGUCGGCGUAUUAUAAUUACGAGGGAAAGUUGGCCAAAAAUAACAAAAUAAAAUGUGAAAUUAUCGCCACGGGUACCGCAAAUAUAAAUUAAUAUAAAUGGAAAAAUUUUGUUUUUAACCGCAAUUCCGUUUUAACUAAUUAAUUUAUUAAAUUUGCAUCUUAUAAUUGUUAUUUUUACGAUGGUUCGCAAAAAUAAUUAUACCAAAAUAUAUUACCAAUUAUAUAUUAUUAAUUACGUCCGUUUUGUAAUUAAUUUUCCGCAAUUGCAAUAAAAUUUCCGUAAUGGAAUAAUCGGUAUCGCGGCGGCGAAAAUUAACAUUUCUUCGCUAAAUCGGGCUGAAAUUUUGGCAGUUUUAUUACCAACGAAAGUUUAAAGCGCGUAUUUUAAAAAGAAAUUCGGAAAAAAGGUAUUUUUUGCAAUUUAAUAAUUAUAACUGUGACGAUUAAAAUAUUGGGUAACCUGUUUUUAUGGUAAAGUACAGUGGGUUGAAGCAAUUAAGCGUCUGAUUGGGUAACUGGGGAUUUUUAAUAAUUGGGGUGAAAUUAUAAUCGAUUCCUGGGUAGGUAAUAAAUUAAUUACUGCUAAACAAUCCUAAACUAAAUUUUGUUUAUAUGGUAAUAAACGUGCCUUAUAUAAUUAAUGUUCCAAAUGUAAUUUUUCCUAAUUUAUUACAAAUUACAGAAAUUAUUUCGCCUAAUUUAUUGUAAUCUUUUAAAAAUUAUUAAAAUUACUUUUUUGGCGAUUACGUGGCGUUACGUGAUUUUUUUUUAGGUAAUCGAUAUUUU